UCCCUCCACCACAAUUCUUUCUACUUAGUGCGUUGCCAAGCUAGUCUUGGUGAUUCUGAUCUAGCCCCUUAGACUGGACCAGCAUGCCUGGGUCUUAGCAUGCGAUUUUCUUGGCCUUCUGGAGUCUCCUCUCCAUGACAACCAAAGCUUUGUAUCUGUGGAAAAUCUUGUAUGGAAGAGAUUUUCUGAUUUACUUUUCAGUGGAUCCUGUUGGGCCCCCUCAUCUGUGUUGGAAGUGCUGCAGCACAAGGAAAAAUUGGAUGAAAGUCAAGACAGCCUAUUUGAAUUAAUAUUAUUUCAGUGCAUUGAAACAAACAAGGUGAUUAAACUAAGAACCAAGAAAACAACUAAAUUAUCCAAUCUGAAAAAUUGUCUAAGUUGUCAAGGAACUAGUAAUGGGACAGGUAGAGUAUGAGCCAAGGCAGUAGAACUCCUGAGGAUGACUAGAGCUUCCUGCGUCCAUCAGCUAUUCAAAUGCUUUUAGAACCAUCACUAAGAUUCGAGACAUAAUGAAUAAAUUGACCCACUCAGAAAAUAUUGAUCUGUCACCUGAAGCAUCUCAGUGAUGAAGUGCAAAUCAAGGAAAAUAAAGAGGUGAACAGUAAAAUGCACCUUCAAGAAAAUCUCAAAGCAUAGAUCCAGACAUCUUAUCUUAACCUUACUAAUUUUGCAUAAAUUCGGGGUAAUUUUGUCAAUGGAUGGUGAGAAAUCAAUCCUUUUGCAUGUGAAUUUAUUACUACCUAUUUCCCUUUUUAAAUCUACUGCUAGAAGCCUUUUUACUGCGGCACAGAACUACAUG
Canis lupus familiaris (dog) is the source of this 799-nucleotide long non-coding RNA. RefSeq lists it as uncharacterized. The transcript is spliced from 5 exons. NCBI's taxonomy places the organism in Eukaryota, Metazoa, Chordata, Mammalia, Carnivora, Canidae. The record is from RefSeq and is a predicted model, not a curated record.